AACGAACGCUGGCGGCAGGCCUAACACAUGCAAGUCGAGCGCGCCUUCGGGUGAGCGGCGGACGGGUGAGUAACGCGUGGGAAUAUGCCCUUCUCUACGGAAUAGUCCUGGGAAACUGGGGGUAAUACCGUAUACGCCCUUUGGGGGAAAGAUUUAUCGGGGAAGGAUUAGCCCGCGUUGGAUUAGGUAGUUGGUGGGGUAAUGGCCUACCAAGCCGACGAUCCAUAGCUGGUUUGAGAGGAUGAUCAGCCACACUGGGACUGAGACACGGCCCAGACUCCUACGGGAGGCAGCAGUGGGGAAUCUUAGACAAUGGGGGCAACCCUGAGCUAGCCAUGCCGCGUGAGUGAUGAAGGCCUUAGGGUUGUAAAGCUCUUUCAGCUGGGAAGAUAAUGACGGUACCAGCAGAAGAAGCCCCGGCUAACUCCGUG
Molecule: ribosomal RNA, 431 nt
Filed under: uncultured bacterium
Lineage: Bacteria
Description: partial 16S ribosomal RNA
Rfam family: Bacterial small subunit ribosomal RNA
Source: RNAcentral